ACGAAAAGCAGGGCCCGUUCUUCUGGCUAAAAAUAACUGGAGCCCCGGGAGGGGGGCGGCGGGGGGCCCUGCAGGAUACCCCUGCCCAAACGCUGUCCGCGCCCGCCCCGGAAUAACCGCCUGCUCCCUCAGGACCCCAAACGAUGCAGCGCUCACUCGGGCUGGGGUGCCCGCGGUGCUCCCAGCGAGCAAGGGCGGCUCCAGGUCUGCCUCCCGGGGCCAAGUCCGGACUGGGGUUGGGACUGCGCCUGGGAACGGGGGGUCCCGGGGUGUCCUCCAGCCGCGGUGCUGUGCGACCCUGGGCAAGGCGCCUAACCUCUCUGGGCCCCCGUCCCGUGCUCUGGAAAAAGGGGCCUCGGCGGAUGCCCUCUGAGGUCCGAAGCUCUCUCUGAAAAAUCAAUGGAAAAUAUCCUCAGGCUCUUACUGGUCUCUGAGGUUCCUGGAGAUCUCCAACUUUCAGCAUUUGGAGCCAGCUCCAGCCAUCUCCCCAAUUUCCU
Molecule: long non-coding RNA, 497 nt
Organism: Molossus molossus (Pallas's mastiff bat)
Lineage: Eukaryota; Metazoa; Chordata; Mammalia; Chiroptera; Molossidae
Exons: 3
Source: RefSeq, a predicted model, not a curated record